CGGUACGUACUGGUAUUGUUGGUUUCUCCCUUCUGACGAACCAUGAUGUCAUUUAUUUGGUGUCGUGGGGAAUCAGGACUGUUACUUUGAAAAAAUUAGAGUGUUUAAAGCAGGCUCACGCUUGAAUACAUUAGCAUGGAAUAAUGGAAUAGGACGUUUGAUUCUAUUUUGUUGGUUUCUAGGAUCGACGUAAUGAUUAAUAGGGAUAGUUGGGGGCAUUAGUAUUCAAUUGUCAGAGGUGAAAUUCUUGGAUUUAUUGAAGACUAACUACUGCGAAAGCAUUUGCCAAGGAUGUUUUCAUUAAUCAAGAACGAAAGUUAGGGGAUCGAAGACGAUCAGAUACCGUCGUAGUCUUAACCAUAAACUAUGCCGACUAGGGAUCGGAUGAUGUUAAUUUUUUAAUGACUCAUUCGGCGCCUUACG
Molecule: ribosomal RNA, 423 nt
Filed under: uncultured Glomeromycotina
Lineage: Eukaryota; Fungi; Glomeromycota
Description: SSU rRNA
Rfam family: Eukaryotic small subunit ribosomal RNA
Source: RNAcentral